ACGGGAGGCAGCAGUGGGGAAUAUUGGGCAAUGGGCGAAAGCCUGACCCAGCAACGCCGCGUGAAGGAAGAAGGUCCUCGGAUUGUAAACUUCUUUUAUCAGGGACGAAGAAAGUGACGGUAGCCAAGGAGGAAGCCACGGCUAACUACGUGCCAGCAGCCGCGGUAAUACGUAGGUGGCAAGCGUUGUCCGGAUUUACUGGGUGUAAAGGGAGCGCAGGCGGGACAGCAAGUUGGAUGUGAAAUACCGAGGCUUAACCACGGAGCUGCAUCCAAAACUGUUGUUCUUGAGUGAAGUAGAGGUAGGCGGAAUUCCGAGUGUAGCGGUGAAAUGCGUAGAUAUUCGGAGGAACACCAGUGGCGAAGGCGGCCUACUGGGCUUUAACUGACGCUGAGGCUCGAAAGUGUGGGGAGCAAACAGGAUUAGAUACCCUGGUA
RNAcentral lists this ribosomal RNA (437 nucleotides) under uncultured Clostridium sp. RNAcentral describes it as "partial 16S ribosomal RNA". It matches the Rfam family "Bacterial small subunit ribosomal RNA", at positions 341 to 792 of the family's 1533-position model. The record is from RNAcentral. Lineage: Bacteria; Bacillati; Bacillota; Clostridia; Eubacteriales; Clostridiaceae.